CUCGUGGGAUGUAGGCUGCUAUAGCAAGACUUGCAUACUCGACUGGGUUCAAAGAGCUGCUGGCUGGGAACUGGAACCUUCUGAUUACAACAACUGGAGCAGAAUACAUUCCCACAAUUCCUUGAGCCAAGAAAAAGCCAAGCAGAGAGGGGAUCCCUACCUAUCAGUCACAGCCUCAUCACUAUGGCUCAAGGUUACGAGGUCAACAGGAGGAUGUUGCUCAUGAGAGAUCUGUGAAAGCAAAUGAGCCCAGGGCAGAAGCAGCUGCGAACUAUGGGCAGUCCGGGCCCAGAAAUCCAGUGGCCACACCCACCUGGGCAACAGCCUCUCUGUAGCGUGUGAUCACAGAGAGGCCAGAGGCCAGUGGAACUCCCAUAAGCCCUGCAGAUGAGAGAAAGUACCCUGCCCAGCGGGGGAGUGAGGAGCCUUGCCCAAAGGACCACUGCCCCAGAGGCUCCCAGGCAGCAACAGCAACAUGGAGAAUAGAUUGCUGCCACCUAGGACUGCUCUGCGCCCGGCAUGCAAAGCCAGAGACAAGCAACCAGUGACAGACACAUGCUCAGGGUGAAAUGACAAGAACACAGAUGAACACACAUGCCCUUAGUAGAUAGGUAUCAGUCAAUUAUGGCUCCCUCCCCUGCCCCCAUGCAACUCCAGGGACUAUCCACUCUACCUGAAGGCCUGUCUUGUACCCAGGCCUCAUGCCUCCCCUCUCCUCCACUUGAAAGCCCACCUCCGCACACCCAAACAAGACACCUCUUCACAGCUAACGGGAAAGGAACUGGCAGAGGAUGUGUUUCUGCCCACCUUACAAACCCACUUUUGAUGGGCCUUACAGGACAAACCAAUCCCAAUAAGCGAAGAACAGGAGAUUCCAAGGAGCUUAACACAGCUCGCCAAAGAUUUGGGGAAAGCAGCAAAGGGAAAUUCUUCUUAGCCAACAUCACUCACUGUUUUUUCAUUUACGUUCCUUAGAAUGCAAACCCAGUACUGGUUUAAGGACCAGCUAGGCACAGAGGAGAGAAUACUGAAUAUCUUUUCAGGACAAAAACCACAAAAGGAAAAGACACAGGGUAAUGGAAGGACAGAAAACUAAAACACACAAAACUUUUUCUAGAAUACAGUAAGUAUUUCACAACUCUGUUCUGAAAAGCAUGUCAGCAAGAACCUGUGGUUACACAGAAAUAUUACCUCAAUCCGUUUCUGAAUAUUUACAUUUAUUUAACACACCUGCUAGAGUUCAGCUCAAAAGCCUGGCAUAAAUUUGAUCAGUUAAGCUUUUCAAUCUGACUUCAGGGGAUCCUGAUAGACCCUAUGUGGAGUCUUCCCUUAAAGUCUUUCAUGUUAAAACAAUUCUCUGGAAAGACAACCUCUGUUCAUUUCCGGUCUCUUUUAAAAA
Myotis daubentonii (Daubenton's bat) is the source of this 1399-nucleotide long non-coding RNA. RefSeq lists it as uncharacterized. NCBI's taxonomy places the organism in Eukaryota, Metazoa, Chordata, Mammalia, Chiroptera, Vespertilionidae. The record is from RefSeq and is a predicted model, not a curated record.